AUGGGUCCCUAUGGGUCCCUAAUGGCCCCUAUGUGUCUCUAUGGCUCCCUAUGGCCCCUAAUGGUCCCUAUGGGUCCCUAUGGGGUCCCUAUGUGUCCCUAUGUGUCUCUAUGGGUCCCUAUGCGUCUCUAUGGGGUUCCUAUGGCUCCCUUCAGGUCUUUAUGGGUCUCUAUGGGUCUCAAUGUGUCUCUAUGGGUCCCUAUGUGUCCCUAUAGGUCCCUAUGGGUCCCUACGGUCUCUAUGGGGUCCCUACGUGUCCCUAUGGUCUCUAUGGGUCCCUAUGGGUCUCUUUGUCUCCCUAUGGUCCCUAUGUGUCUCUAUUGGGCCUCUAUGGGUCCCUAUGGGUCUCUAUGGGUCCCUAUGGGGUCUCUAUGGGUCCCAAUGUCUCCCUAUGGAUCCCUAUGGGUCCCUAUGGUCCCUAUGUGUCUCUAUGGGUCCCUAUGGAUCCCUAAUGGUCCCUAUGUGUCCCUAUGUGUUCCUAUGGGUCCCUAUGGUCUUUAUGGGUCUCAAUGUGUUCCUAUGGGUCCCUAUGGGGUCCCUAUGUGUCCCUAUGGGUCUCUAUGGGUCCCUAUGUUGUCUAUCGGUCCCUAUGAGUCCCUAUGGGUCCCUAUGGGUCUCUAUGGGUCCCUAUGUGUUCCUAUGGGUCCCUAUGGGUCUCUAUGGGGUUCCUAUGGGUCCCUUCAGGUCUUUAUGGGUCCCUAUGGGUCUCAAUGUGUUCCUAUGGGUCCCUAUGGGGUCCCUAUGUGUCCCUAUGGGUCUCUAUGGGUCCCUAUGGGGUUCCUAUGGGUCCCUAUGGGUCUCUAUGGGUCCCUAUGGGUCUCUAUGGGUCUCUGUGUCUCGCUAUGUGUCCCUAUGUGUCUCUAUGGGUCCCUAUGUUGUCUAUCGGUCCCUAUGAGUCCCUAUGGGUCCCUAUGUGUCUCUAUGGGUCCCUAUGGGUCCCUUCAGGUCUCUAUGGGUCUCAAUGUGUCCCUAUGGGGCCUCUAUGGGUCCCUAUGGGUCUCUAUGGGGUCCCUAUGUGUUCCUAUGUGUCUCUAUAGGUCCCUCUGGUCUCUAUGGGUCUCUUCGUCUCCCUACGGGUCUCUUUGUCUCCCUAUGGGUCCCUAUGUGUCUCUAUGGGUCCCUAUGGUCUCUAUGGGGUUCCUAUGGGUCCCUUCAGGUCUCUGUGUGUCCCUAUGGUCCCCACGUGUCCCCACGUGUCCCCACGGCUCACCGUGCAGCACCCAGAUGCACUCCCCCAUGACGGAGUAA
This 1248-nucleotide long non-coding RNA is filed under the name Phasianus colchicus (ring-necked pheasant). RNAcentral describes it as "lncRNA (ENSPCLG00000017611.1)". Lineage: Eukaryota; Metazoa; Chordata; Aves; Galliformes; Phasianidae. The record is from RNAcentral.